GUGCAGCAGGCGAGAAUUUUUCUCAAUGGGGGCAACCCUGAAGGAGCGACGCCGCGUGGAGGAUGAAGGCUUUCGGGUUGUAAACUCCUGUCAUUUGAGAACAAGUGUGGGCAAGUAACUACUGCCUACUUGAUAGUAUCAGAAGAGGAAGAGACGGCUAACUCUGUGCCAGCAGCCGCGGUAAUACAGAGGUCUCAAGCGUUGUUCGGAUUCAUUGGGCGUAAAGGGUGCGUAGGUGGCGCGCUAAGUCAGGUGUGAAAUCUCGGGGCUUAACUCCGAAACUGCAUUUGAUACUGGCGUGCUUGAGGACUGGAGAGGACGACUGGAAUUCAUGGUGUAGCAGUGAAAUGCGUAGAGAUCAUGAGGAAGACCAGUGGCGAAGGCGGGUCUCUGGACAGUUCCUGACACUGAGGCACGAAGGCCAGGGGAGCAAACGGGAUUAGAUA
Molecule: ribosomal RNA, 446 nt
Filed under: uncultured organism
Description: bacterial SSU rRNA
Rfam family: Bacterial small subunit ribosomal RNA
Source: RNAcentral